AUUGAACGCUGGCGGCAUGCCUUACACAUGCAAGUCGAACGGUAACGGGCCUUCGGGUUCCGUCGAGUGGCGCACGGGCGUGUAAUACAUCGGAACGUGCCCGAUCGAGGUGGCUAUCGCGGCGCAAUCUUUUUUUAUACUCCAUACGAAUCACGUAUGACAGCAGGGGACUGCAAGUCCUUGCGCUCACGGAGCUGCCGUUGGCAGAUUAGGUAGUUUGUGGGUUACAAGCUUACCAAGACGACGAUCUGUAGCUGAUCUGAGAGGAUGAUUAGCCACACUGGGACUGAGACACGGCCCAGACUCCUACGGGAGGCAGCAGUGGGGAAUUUUGGAGAAUGGACGGAAGGCUGAUCCAGCCAUGCCGAGUGGAGGAUGAGGGCAUUAGGGUUGUAAACUGCAAUUGUACGGAACGAGGAGCCUUCUUGUAAUGCAGGAGGGUCAUGACGGUACCGUAAGAAUAAGCACCGGCUAACUACGUG
This 482-nucleotide ribosomal RNA is filed under the name uncultured bacterium. RNAcentral describes it as "partial 16S ribosomal RNA". It matches the Rfam family "Bacterial small subunit ribosomal RNA", at positions 30 to 507 of the family's 1533-position model. The record is from RNAcentral.